UGCAAAGAGAUUUGUCUCAAGUCCUAAUUUGAUUUAGAUAUCUGUGAUUAAUUAUAAACAUAAAUACAAGCCAUCUGCGGUCUGCCUUAAUAAAAAAAAUAAACAUAAAAUAUUACUUUCUGGCGUAGAUAGCUUUUUUGGUGUUACAUAUUUUUAUCUAAAUAAUACAAUGACGUUGAAAUUAUCUAUUAUUGAAGGUGAUCAGAUAAUAGAGAAUGUUGUGCAAGAAACAAAUACAGAUCCUGCUGAAUUAUCUCAAGCUUUAAAUGUUUUUCGUGAAAGAAUUAACACAUUAUUCACAAAGAAACUUAUAGCAAAUAGCCAAAGUUCAUUCAUUAAUCCCAGUGACAACAGUAGUGAUGAUGAAGAUAUCAGUCUUAGUCCUAAGAAAAAAAAGACAUAAACUUAAACUUUACCAAUAUUAUAAAGUAUGGGUAUUAUAAUUAAAACAAAAGUUAUUUA
Molecule: long non-coding RNA, 462 nt
Organism: Pieris napi
Lineage: Eukaryota; Metazoa; Arthropoda; Insecta; Lepidoptera; Pieridae
Exons: 2
Source: RefSeq, a predicted model, not a curated record